Long non-coding RNA from Lemur catta (Ring-tailed lemur), 724 nucleotides. RefSeq lists it as uncharacterized. The record is from RefSeq and is a predicted model, not a curated record. The transcript has 3 exons. Lineage: Eukaryota; Metazoa; Chordata; Mammalia; Primates; Lemuridae.
AGCGUUAACUCUAGGUGGGAGUGGAGCGACUGCACCUGCCUGGCCAUGCUUGGGUUUCGGAGGCCCUCCUGGCGAACCGUCUGCACCCAGCUGGCAUAAACUCUCCUAUUCUGCUACAUAAUCUUCAGGACCGUCAUUCUGACUAGACACACGGUAUUUCACUAAGUGGAUGCAUAAGCUAACCGCAUCAUCGAAGGAACUGAGCCAAAAAUGGCAUAUAUGGACAGUGGCUGACUGACGUGGGGAGGCUGUGAGCACAAGCCACUCAUCUUCAACAGCCGAGUCACGCCGGCCCAGCAAGACGGGCACACGGGCACACCGCAAGCACCACAGGAAGCUGAUCCCGACCUAAGGGGAACACACCUGCCCUUCCUCCUCAUGCUGGCUGAAGCACCCGCACUGUUUGAAUUCCUCUCCUUUUUCCCCACCUGUGAGCACAUAACUUAUAUGAUGGGACUUCACUCUAUCUUUCACUUGCUUCCAAGGCUGUUGCCUUGCGAUUCUAAGAAAUGCUGCACUGAACACCUUUGUGAAUAUUCUCUAUGCUUAGGAUUAUUUUUCUCAGAUAUUUGACCACAGUGGAAUUAUUCAGUUAAAUGUUUUUAAAGUCUUUAACAGGUAACUAAUAAACUGCUUUGAGAAUAUAUAUGGCUGCCAGCAAAAAUUAAAAUUUUACUGUACUUCCUCUUACAUAAGUCACUAUAAAAAAGUUCUCAGCAAUUAA